Molecule: ribosomal RNA, 505 nt
Filed under: uncultured bacterium
Lineage: Bacteria
Description: bacterial SSU rRNA
Rfam family: Bacterial small subunit ribosomal RNA
Source: RNAcentral
AUUGAACGCUGGCGGAAUGCUUUACACAUGCAAGUCGAACGGCAGCACGGGGCAACCUGGUGGCGAGUGGCGAACGGGUGAGUAAUACAUCGGAACGUGCCCAAUCGUGGGGGAUAACGUAGCGAAAGUUACGCUAAUACCGCAUACGAUCUACGGAUGAAAGCGGGGGAUCGCAAGACCUCGCGCGAAUGGAGCGGCCGAUGUCAGAUUAGGUAGUUGGUAGGGUAAAGGCUCACCAAGCCGACGAUCUGUAGCUGGUCUGAGAGGACGACCAGCCACACUGGGACUGAGACACGGCCCAGACUCCUACGGGAGGCAGCAGUGGGGAAUUUUGGACAAUGGGCGCAAGCCUGAUCCAGCCAUUCCGCGUGCAGGAUGAAGGCCUUCGGUUGUAAACUGCUUUUGUACGGUAACGAAACGGUUACUCUCUAAUACAGGGGCGUAAGUGACGGUACCGUAACGAAUAAAGCACCGGCUAACUACGUGCCAGCAGCCGCCGGUAAGU